GGAAGUAAAAUCGUAACAAGGUUUCCGUAGGUGAACCUGCGGAAGGAUCAUUACUGAGUGAGGGCCCCUCGGGGUCCAACCUCCCACCCGUGUUUAACGAACCUUGUUGCUUCGGCGGGCCCGCCUCACGGCCGCCGGGGGGCAUCUGCCCCCGGGCCCGCGCCCGCCGAAGCCACCUGUGAACGCUGUCUGAAGUAUGCAGUCUGAGACAAUUAUUAAAUUAAUUAAAACUUUCAACAACGGAUCUCUUGGUUCCG
RNAcentral lists this unclassified non-coding RNA (257 nucleotides) under plant metagenome. Its description in RNAcentral is "partial contains small subunit ribosomal RNA, internal transcribed spacer 1, and 5.8S ribosomal RNA". The stretch from base 1 to 53 matches the Rfam family "Eukaryotic small subunit ribosomal RNA", at positions 1778 to 1831 of the family's 1831-position model. The record is from RNAcentral.